RNAcentral lists this transfer RNA (73 nucleotides) under Candidatus Kerfeldbacteria bacterium. RNAcentral describes it as "tRNA-Pro". It matches the Rfam family "tRNA". From Rfam's summary of the family: Transfer RNA (tRNA) molecules are approximately 80 nucleotides in length. Their secondary structure includes four short double-helical elements and three loops (D, anti-codon, and T loops). The record is from RNAcentral. Lineage: Bacteria; Candidatus Kerfeldiibacteriota.
CGGGGCGUGGCCCAGCGGCUACGGCACCUGGUUUGGGACCAGGGCAUCGUGAGUUCGAGUCUCACCGCCCCGA